AGGUAAUGUCUACUGUACCUAUACCACCGUAGGCACUCGAUCAUGCUGUGGGUGCAAAACCUUAGACGUUCAUCGUCGAUGGUGUGAUGUGAGGCGGGGUUAAAUGCCCU
This 110-nucleotide non-coding RNA is filed under the name Paenibacillus sp. CECT 9249. Its description in RNAcentral is "epsC". It matches the Rfam family "epsC RNA". Lineage: Bacteria; Bacillati; Bacillota; Bacilli; Caryophanales; Paenibacillaceae. The record is from RNAcentral.